RNAcentral lists this ribosomal RNA (461 nucleotides) under uncultured bacterium. Its description in RNAcentral is "partial 16S ribosomal RNA". It matches the Rfam family "Bacterial small subunit ribosomal RNA", at positions 338 to 795 of the family's 1533-position model. The record is from RNAcentral.
CCUACGGGGUGCUGCAGUGAGGAAUAUUGGUCAAUGGGCUUACGCCUGAACCAGCCAAGUCGCGUGAGGGAAGACUGCCCUAUGGGUUUUAAACCUCUUUUUUCAGGGAGCAACUCCGGCUAUGUGUAGCCUGACUGCCAGUACCCUAAGUAAAAGCAUCCGCUAACUCCGUGCCAGCAGCCGCGUUAAUACGGAUGAUGCGAGCGUUAGCCGGAUUUAUUGGGUUUAAAGGGUGCGUAGGUGGUUAAUUAAGUCAGCGGUGAAAGUUUGUGGCUCAACCAUAAAAUUGCCGUUGAAACUGGUUGACUUGAGUAUAUUUGAGGUAGGGGGAAUGCGUGGUGUAGCGGUGAAAUGCAUAGAUAUCACGAAGAAUUCCGAUUGCGAAGGCAGCUUACUAAACUAUAACUGACACUGAAGCACGAAAGCGUGGGGAUCAAACAGGAUUAGAGACCCGAGUAGUC